Nerophis lumbriciformis (worm pipefish) is the source of this 379-nucleotide long non-coding RNA. RefSeq lists it as uncharacterized. The record is from RefSeq and is a predicted model, not a curated record. NCBI's taxonomy places the organism in Eukaryota, Metazoa, Chordata, Actinopteri, Syngnathiformes, Syngnathidae.
CAAAAAUGGAUAAGAUUUCCGAACCUAAGAGCAGCGUCCAAGUCUUUCCAUCUCCAGUCACAUUUGACUUGUCUGGUGAUGCAAGUUUUAGCUGUGAAACAUCUGGUGCUCCGUUAAAUGAGGAAACAAAAGCAAAGCAGUGUCACUAUGGUGAUGAAAUUGAUGAGGUUUCUGAUGCAUCUGUCCAAAUCACUGCGGAUGUCAAAGCUACACUGCCAAGGUUUGCCUCUGAACAAGAUCAGAAGGAAGGAGCUUGUCUUGAGGAGUGCCUUUUCCCAAAGUCCAAGUCCAGCAUUUUCAACAAUAAGAGUGGAGAUACCAGGACGUAUGAAGAACAUUCCAACCACAAGACAACACUGUCAAAUCCUGAAAAUAUCUC